GACGAACGCUGGCGGCGUGCUUAACACAUGCAAGUCGAGCGGUAAGGCCCUUUCGGGGGUACACGAGCGGCGAACGGGUGAGUAACACGUGGGUGACCUGCCCUCAGCUCUGGGAUAAGCCCGGGAAACUGGGUCUAAUACCGGAUAUGACUUCAUGACGCAUGUUGUGGAGUGGAAAGCCUUGUGCGGCUGAGGAUGGGCCCGCGGCCUAUCAGCUUGUUGGUGGGGUGAUGGCCUACCAAGGCGACGACGGGUAGCCGGCCUGAGAGGGCGACCGGCCACACUGGGACUGAGAUACGGCCCAGACUCCUACGGGAGGCAGCAGUGGGGAAUCUUGCGCAAUGGGCGAAAGCCUGACGCAGCGACG
This 367-nucleotide ribosomal RNA is filed under the name uncultured bacterium. RNAcentral describes it as "bacterial SSU rRNA". It matches the Rfam family "Bacterial small subunit ribosomal RNA", at positions 28 to 396 of the family's 1533-position model. The record is from RNAcentral.